UUUACCUCAGAAUUUCUUCAGAAAAUAUUUUAUUACCUGAAUUUGAUACAGACACAGGAGAUCUGUUUAUGUUGUGGUUAUACAACAUAAAUACAAAGUCUAUGUAUUUAACAUACACACCACUAUGUAGCUCUCGGUGAAUAAAAAUCAUCGAGCAGCUGACUGUGAACUGUAUAUAAAUAAAUGCAAAGCUCAAUAAAACAGAAAUUAUCUUGUGACUGGCCUGACUGCACAGGUGGUGCCAGCCUUUGCCAGGGGCCUGCAGUUGGGAACACGUAUUUCUUUCCAAGCGGUUUCAAAAGUAGGUCAUUGGGCAGUAGUACAAAGCAACCUACUUUCAGAAGAGAAGCAUCUGGGGGUCGAAGAAAUGUUUCCAACGAAUCUGUAACAUUCUAGAAUGCAAGCUGUGUCUGCGUUUUAUGUACACUAAUGUCUUAGCAACAACAUAUCAUUUCUAAGUGAGCAAUGUCAAAUGAAGCAAUCUGUUUAUCUUUAGUUACAAGGGUUUAAGUAGGGACAGCCGGCUGGUCAGGCAACCUGAGUAUGUGCAGCCAGCUCAGUACUGUUCCUUUGUUCAGAUAUAAAUAGGGCUACUUGCCACAGGGAAAAAACCCCACAAUGUAUAUUCUUAUAAUAGUACUCUUACCUACCUCAGGCCUCUCUCACUGUGUAUGACACCAGAUAAUUAUAUUUAUCUAUUUACAGUUGUGGAGAUAAAUAUUUUCUUCCCGAACCUGUAUCACAGCAAUAAAGCCUGAUCUUUGCUGAAGUUCCAGCUGCAAGACAAACAGAACUGUGGCAUGUUACUGCUUGUCCUUGUACUGCCAAGCUCAAGGGCUACAAAAAUAGUGAGUCACAAGCCAAAGUACUGUGAGAUUGAGUAUAAUAUUAUGAGAUUACCAAAAAAAGACAACUCUCCGAGGUUUGGUUUUUAAGCCUUAUGCUAAAAAUACCUUAAAUAAACAAAGUUUUUAAUAAGCUACCAACUUCAGGAGCUGAAAGCUUAAGAAAAACAAACAUAUCCAGAUUUGUAGUAAAAAGGGGAGAAUCAGCAAUACUCCUCUGUUACCUUGUUUGUUUAAAGGCUAUUUUGACUUUGCAGGACACAUGGGAUACAGCUUUAAGAUCUGCGCUGCCCCAAUAAAUAGGCUUGGGCACGUCUUUCUCUGUAGGUUUAACUGACCCCAAGGAACAUGUGGCAAUUCUCUAUGCUGCUGAUAUAAGGAGACUUCUAAAGGGCAUUUUAUGAAGAUGCCAUCCCAGGUUUGUGUCUGCAUGUUACGCCAGUGAAAGCAACAAUCAAUAACUAGGUCUAUUCUAAAAAUUACUUGUCUGCAUCUUUUUUUUCCAGUCUGCCUCCUGCCUGCGAGUCUUUUGGAUCUGAUCCAAGCUGCACUGCAGUGAAGGAGCUCUCUUUGUUCACGUUCCCUCUGCUGCAUCUGAGCCCAUUGAGCAAGUGGUUUCUGGGGUGAGGAUUUUCAGCAGGAUAGCAAAGAAGCACCUUGAAAAAAAAAACCAACAGAAAGACAGAAAUAAGUCUUAACCCACUGUUAAUCAUUAUCAGUGUGUUUCAAUAGAACCUCUAUGAUAGUGAAUAAAAACCAAUACUGUCAAGGCCAGUCUGAACAGCCUGCAUCCAGAAGCCCAGAGGUGAUAACCCUGUAUUCUGUUUUCAGAUCCAGCCUAGAUCCCUUGAUGGGGAGGGGAAUGUGCAGAAUUUUUCCUCCUCAACAGGAAAACUAAAAUCCAAGCACUGGCAUUUUUCUCCCUUGCACAAACUAUGUAGUUUUAACUACUUCAGUUCUCUAAAGUGUGGUGUGAGCUAUACACAAUUUCUAGUUCCACGCUUACUAGAUGAAAAGCAUCCAUAGUUACUAGUUCUCUUUAACCCACAAACAUGUAGCUGCUUUCAGUGUUGCCUUUGCAACGAAAAUGCCCUUGCAGACAGAAUCUCAAUGUGGGCUGCAAGCCAGCUCUGCAGAGCUGAGUCAUUGUUAUACAAGCAGGGCUGGGCUGGCACAGAAAAACACCUUUGUACUUUAACAUUAAACCACGUCAGCUGUUGAACUCUGAGUAUCACAAGAUACCUAAAGAAAACAAACCGAUUUACUGGACUUUUCCUCAUCUUUCUGAAAGCUUCCUUCUCCACUUUCUCUCAGAAGCUUAACACAAGCAUUCUUCAUCAAGCUAUUGCCUUCUACUGAAGUUUGGCAAACAUUGCAUCAGAUUUGGAGGUAAUGUACCAGGAAAGCUGGUGACUCUUCAGGCACUGGGUAACACUGGCUGCCCAGGUACACCGACAAUACCAUAUGCAACCACUGAAAUGUAGGGCUUGUAAAUCCAAAUGCCAAUGAAAUUUGUCAUCAGCCAGAGAUCCCCUAUAAAGGUCUUGAACUGGUUAUUUAUGUGAGACCCAGUUUUGAGCUCUAAGAGUCCUCUGUAAUAAAAUGUGAAACAAAUAAAAAAGGAGAAAGAAUUUCUUUACAGCAGCCUUCUGAAACAAAGCUGUGGUUUGUUCUUCCAUUUUUGUCUCCCAGUUCUUUAUCCUGAAAUGUCACAGGAGAAACAGAAUUCAGCUCCUCAAAAUGCUUUCUACAUUUAAAAUAUGCUGAACUAAUUGCAUGGGAGCACAGAGGGAUAGAUUUGCAGCUACGCAAACGGCUGCAACAUCAGGGCCUGCACAUUAGUUUUGCCACUGGAACUGUGUUAUGAGAGCAUACAAGUGCCAGUGUCUCCUGUCUCGCAAAGAGGAGGUAAUUUGUGUGAGCUGAUUGCUAAUGAACUCCUAAAAUACAUUCUGCCUUUCAGUUCAGUGCAGUUUACUGUUUUUAGAAAAGAACUGACCAUGUAGGCUCAAACCUGCAACUGCCAAACCCUGCACUGACAGCAAAUGACUCCAUGAUGCAAACUGCACAGGCUCAGUUUC
Long non-coding RNA from Strigops habroptila (Kakapo), 2926 nucleotides. The record is from Ensembl. Lineage: Eukaryota; Metazoa; Chordata; Aves; Psittaciformes; Psittacidae.